Molecule: ribosomal RNA, 434 nt
Filed under: uncultured Ruminococcus sp.
Lineage: Bacteria; Bacillati; Bacillota; Clostridia; Eubacteriales; Oscillospiraceae
Description: bacterial SSU rRNA
Rfam family: Bacterial small subunit ribosomal RNA
Source: RNAcentral
ACGGGAGGCAGCAGUGGGGAAUAUUGCGCAAUGGGGGAAACCCUGAUGCAGCGAUGCCGCGUGGAGGAAGAAGGUUUUCGGAUUGUAAACUCCUGUCUUAAAGGACGAUAAUGACGGUACUUUAGGAGGAAGCUCCGGCUAACUGCGUGCCAGCAGCCGCGGUAAUACGUAGGGAGCGAGCGUUGUCCGGAAUUACUGGGUGUAAAGGGAGCGUAGGCGGGACUGCAAGUCAGACGUGAAAUGCCGGGGCUUAACCCCGGAGCUGCAUUUGAAACUGUGGUUCUUGAGUGAAGUAGAGGCAAGCGGAAUUCCUGGUGUAGCGGUGAAAUGCGUAGAUAUCGGGAGGAACAUCAGUGGCGAAGGCGGAUUACUGGACGACAACUGACGCUGAGACACGAAAGCGUGGGGAGCAAACAGGAUUAGAUACCCUGGUA